Molecule: ribosomal RNA, 189 nt
Filed under: uncultured bacterium
Lineage: Bacteria
Description: partial 16S ribosomal RNA
Rfam family: Bacterial small subunit ribosomal RNA
Source: RNAcentral
CCUACGGGAGGCAGCAGUGAGGAAUAUUGGACAAUGGGCGAGAGCCUGAUCCAGCCAUGCCGCGUGCAGGAUGACGGCCCUAUGGGUUGUAAACUGCUUUUAUACAGGAAGAAACACCCCGACGUGUCGGGACUUGACGGUACUGUAAGAAUAAGGAUCGGCUAACUCCGUGCCAGCAGCCGCGGUAAU